RNAcentral lists this ribosomal RNA (468 nucleotides) under uncultured fungus. Its description in RNAcentral is "eukaryotic LSU rRNA". The stretch from base 114 to 267 matches the Rfam family "5.8S ribosomal RNA". The record is from RNAcentral. Lineage: Eukaryota; Fungi.
CAUUAGUGAACGCCCUCACGGGCUUAUAACUAUUCCAAACCUCUGUGAACCGUGCCCUUCGGGGUUAUUUUACAAACAUGGUGUAAUGAACGUCAUAUAUCAUAACAAGACAAAACUUUCAACAACGGAUCUCUUGGCUCUCGCAUCGAUGAAGAACGCAGCGAAAUGCGAUAAGUAAUGUGAAUUGCAGAAUUCAGUGAAUCAUCGAAUCUUUGAACGCACCUUGCGCCCUCUGGUAUUCCGGAGGGCAUGCCUGUUUGAGUGUCAUGUAGACUCAAUCCCUCGGGUUUCCGAGGAGAUUGGACUUGGGUGUUGCCGCUCUGCCGGCUCGCCUUAAAAGACUUAGCGGGAUAGCACCGUAGUCGGCGUAAUAAGUUUCGUCGGUGAAGGUUGUGAUGACUGCUUACAAUCGCCCUCGGGCAAUUUUUGACUCUGACCUCAAAUCAGGUAGGACUACCCGCUGAACUU